ACCAUGCUGGGCAGUGCGUGUUUGAACAUUAUCCCCUUGACCCUUAAGUGAUUGCCCCGGGAACAGAAGUGUUGGCGGCUGUGUGCAUGUCCUUUACUGGAAAGCCUGAUGCGCCACCGGCGUUCCCACCUGAAGAGAUUCAGGUUCAAGGGCAUUGUUCUGAUAACGGCUGUCUGGCUGGUGU
Molecule: non-coding RNA, 184 nt
Filed under: Gammaproteobacteria bacterium
Lineage: Bacteria; Pseudomonadati; Pseudomonadota; Gammaproteobacteria
Description: 6S RNA
Rfam family: 6S / SsrS RNA
About the family: E. coli 6S RNA was the first non coding RNA to be sequenced, but its function was unknown until recently.
Source: RNAcentral